Molecule: ribosomal RNA, 396 nt
Filed under: uncultured bacterium
Lineage: Bacteria
Description: bacterial SSU rRNA
Rfam family: Bacterial small subunit ribosomal RNA
Source: RNAcentral
AUUGAACGCUGGCGGCAUGCCUUACACAUGCAAGUCGAACGGCAGCACGGGAGCAAUCCUGGUGGCCAGUGGCGAACGGGUGAGUAAUAUAUCGGAACGUGCCCAGUCGUGGGGAUAACGUAGCGAAAGCUACGCUAAUACCGCAUACGAUCUAUGGAUGAAAGCGGGGGAUCGCAAGACCUCGCGCGAUUGGAGCGGCCGAUAUCAGAUUAGGUAGUUGGUGAGGUAAAGGCUCACCAAGCCGACGAUCUGUAGCUGGUCUGAGAGGACGACCAGCCACACUGGGACUGAGACACGGCCCAGACUCCUACGGAGGCAGCAGUGGGGAAUUUUUGGACAAUGGGCGCAAGCCUGAUCCAGCAAUGCCGCGUGCAGGAUGAAGGCCUCGGUUGUAAC